AAACCACCAUUGAUUACAGAACAGAAAAUUCCAGCAAGGGGUCAAGCACUGUUCAGACGCAGAGGAGUCAUGACGGUCUUCCAGAAGAAGGUGAUUUCGAGCAGAGAUCUGAAUGAAGAGGAGACAGGCUUCAUGAACUCUAUGCUGGGCUCUGAGGAUGCCUUGAAAACCAAUUGCCC
Molecule: long non-coding RNA, 179 nt
Organism: Lemur catta (Ring-tailed lemur)
Lineage: Eukaryota; Metazoa; Chordata; Mammalia; Primates; Lemuridae
Exons: 3
Source: RefSeq, a predicted model, not a curated record